UACAGAGGUCUCAAGCGUUGUUCGGAUUCAUUGGGCGUAAAGGGUGCGUAGGCGGUCGCGCAAGUCGGAUGUGAAAUCUCAGGGCUCAACCCUGAAACUGCAUUCGAUACUGCGUGGCUAGAGUGCUGGAGGGGAGACUGGAAUUUACGGUGUAGCAGUGAAAUGCGUAGAUAUCGUAAGGAAGACCAGUGGCGAAGGCGGCUCUCUGGACCGAGACUGACGCUGAGGCGCGAAAGCGUGGGGAGCAAACAGG
RNAcentral lists this ribosomal RNA (253 nucleotides) under uncultured bacterium. RNAcentral's name for it is "partial 16S ribosomal RNA". It matches the Rfam family "Bacterial small subunit ribosomal RNA", at positions 524 to 776 of the family's 1533-position model. The record is from RNAcentral.